Molecule: ribosomal RNA, 468 nt
Filed under: uncultured bacterium
Lineage: Bacteria
Description: partial 16S ribosomal RNA
Rfam family: Bacterial small subunit ribosomal RNA
Source: RNAcentral
GACGAACGCUGGCGGCGUGCUUAACACAUGCAAGUCGAACGGAAAGGCCCUGCGUUUGUGGGGUGCUCGAGUGGCGAACGGGUGAGUAACACGUGAGUAACCUGCCCUUGACUGUGGGAUAACUUCAGGAAACUGGGGCGAAUACCGGAUAGGAGCUCCUGCUGCAUGGUGGGGGUUGGAAAGUUUCGGCGGUUGGGGAUGGACUCGCGGCUUAUCAGCUUGUUGGUGGGGUAGUGGCUUACCAAGGCUUUGACGGGUAGCCGGCCUGAGAGGGUGACCGGCCACCUUGGGCCUGCGGUACGGCCCAGACUCCUAUGGGAGGCAGCAGUGGGGAGCCUUGCACAAUGGGCCGACGCCUGAUGCAGCAACGCCGCGUGCGGGAUGACGGCCUUCGGGUUGUAAACCGCUUUCGCCUGUGCCGAAGCGUGAGUGACGGUAAUGGGUAAAGAAGCACCGGCUAACUACGUG